UCAACUUCAAGUACCACAACUAGCUCUGCCAACGCCCCGAUAUCUAACGGAAGCGGUAAGCUUCACGAGUGCUCCAUCUGCCACAAGUCUUUCCCAACUGGACAAGCCUUGGGCGGACACAAGAGGUGUCACUAUGAAGGCGGCGCAGGAGGGGCCGAAAAGAGCGGGAUGACUUCAACUUCUGAAGGUGUCGGGUCAACCAACACA
Molecule: unclassified non-coding RNA, 207 nt
Filed under: Hevea brasiliensis (rubber tree)
Lineage: Eukaryota; Viridiplantae; Streptophyta; Magnoliopsida; Malpighiales; Euphorbiaceae
Source: RNAcentral